GGGUAAACUCUGAGAGCUACGGAGAGGGCGGGACGAGCGGGCGCGGGGACAGAGAUCCCACCCAGGGUAGCAAAUCUCCGGCACACAGCCUCGGACAGACCGGAGGACGCGGCUUGGUUACUCUCGGAGGGACCGAAGGGCUGUACAGCUGACUUGCUGUUACAAGGUGGGUUCCUUCUGGACAGAAGAGGCGGAGCAUUGUGGGCAUGGCCAAGAAUGGCGCACCGCCCUUCGCUGCUGCCCCCUCGGCUCUGCUUUCUGAUCACCGUGAGGUCUUCAGAUCUCCAGGAACUGUACUUGACUGUGCCUAAGAAACCUCAUAAGCACUGGCAGCUGAUUAGAUGGCAAAAUAUCAACUUUGAGCUGAUGCAAUAAUGGAUGAGACUCUGAGGAUCUUGAAGAGAUAAAAAUAAGAACAAAGAUGAUUUUAUUCCUUCACCCAUCUUUCCUGGAAGGUCUUAACCCACACUGACAAGACUGCAGCAACUGAUGUUGAAUGUGCAGCUGGCAUUAGAGUCCUCAAAAUAAAAAGAGUCCCCAAAAUAAAAAGGGAUGCAGUACCAUGAUGGAAUCUGUGGCCUGUGUAUCCUUGGGUAAAUAGAAUUGUCCUAGACACUUUUUACAAAGAAGAGACUCAUAAAGAAGGAUCUACUCUAGCUAUUUCCACUCAAGUAGAAUUAGGAGUAUCCAAGACUUUAAAACUAGCAAAGUCACUCAUGGGAGUCCCAUCUGCUGCCCUUGAUUGGUUGUCUUUCCCAUUUUCAGAUAUCUCAGUUGGUUUCCUACUGGGCUAGGUCUUUUCUGCUUUGCCUCUAGUUUAUAAUGAUUCUUCUUAUUCUAGUUAACUCUUAUCUAUUUUGAUACCCCCAACACAACACUGGCCUUUCAUUAAUGAUUUUUCCUCUAUCCAAGGCACUCCUUUUCUCAACACAAAACUUAGGCCCCAAAGUAUACCUGAUUUCUAGAAUGUAGCCAGAGUGGUUGUCACCCUAGUACAUUAAGGAAUUAAAAAAAAGACAACUGAGGUUUGAAAUUGACCAGGCUUGGACACACAUUCCCUAAAUUCCAAAGUUCUUGUCUUUCAGGAAAAGCCUCUAGAUCUUCCAUUAAUAAUUCUUACUGUUCUGAACCUGCUUUUCACAUGGAUAUGCACAAAAGCAGCCGGCUCACCUAGUCAAUGACAUCACAAGCCCAAAAUUCUCUGCACCCAAUAUAACUCCUUCCUCCCAAAAGAAACACGGACACUGCCGAGCCUCACUACCCAAUCACCAGGC
Molecule: long non-coding RNA, 1274 nt
Filed under: Heterocephalus glaber (naked mole-rat)
Lineage: Eukaryota; Metazoa; Chordata; Mammalia; Rodentia; Bathyergidae
Description: lncRNA (ENSHGLG00000036659.1)
Source: RNAcentral